CAGGUGGGAAACAGUCGAGGCUGGUCCUUUGGCAAAUGAGAGCAUCACCCUGAAUGGAGAAGACAGGAGCCAUUUCAGCACUGCUGCUCAUGGCAUAGGGUGGCCACGGCCAUGGAGGCAAGCCCUGAUGGGUUGAGACACCCUUGUGAGAGGUGCCUGGCAGCAGACUCCUCUGGAGGAGUGUUUUGCAGAGGCCACAGUGCAGCAAAACCUUUUAGGAGACUUGGCAGACCUCUCAGGAAGCCGAGGAUCACUGCAGUGAGCCCUCUCUUGUCUCCUCAUCACCUGGAGGCAGCUCAAGGAGUGCCACACGCCAGAGCAGGAGGGAUGGCUGGAGCUGUUCUCAUGGCAGAAGUGACCGGCGGGAUGCCUCACAGGCAUCACUGGGCUGCAGCCACAAAGCCAGAAGUGCCUGAGUUGGCCUCCUGCUUCUACCCAAGAAAAUCAAAGCAUGCUCCCAUGAGGAUGCGGGUGAGAGUGAAUAAAGCUGACUACUCAUUAAGUGCAGCAGAGAGAGGAAACUGCAUCUAAAUCACCACUACAUUAACGAGUGCACAGAGGCUGGUUUGUGCCCCAGACGUGAUGGAAGAACUUUGUCACCAAGCUGUGCACAGCACUGUUUGCUUUCAGCAGUGCUGAGCAGCCCAGACAGGGCACUGCACUGGUGCAGCCACCUUCUUCUGGGACCUGGAGCUCUGCACUUUGUGGCACAGAUGUGGUUGGUGAUCCAGCUGCCAGAGACGUGGGUGACUACAAUAAUUUCCUGCAUGGCAGCUGACAGGAUAAUACUGAAAAAGAAAGGAGGAUCAGCUGCUUUCAGCCCAUGAGUUCAAGAAGAGCCUAAUCUAAUUAAGUGGAGACCACUAUCAAAUUACCAGCUCUCUUUUAACGUAGCCAUUUUAAGUGGUUUAGUGUAUUUAUAGCAGGUGAGUUAGGGAGGGCUUUUCUCCCUUGAGGUUAUAUUUGUGUGUAAGGGAGAGAUGUAUAAUGUUGAGACUUUUGCUUUGAAUUACUUCUCAUCCCUAGCCUAGAAAAUAUUUUGCUCAAGUUUAAGAUAUCAAAAUCUGAUCCCAGCUAGUCUCUUCCUAUGCCUGUGACUGGAAUGUCUGUCUGGCCUGUUCCUGAGUCUUGCUUCAAGCCAGCAGCCCAGAAGUUUCCUUUGGGGAUUAAGCUUUCCUUAAAGCAAACCCUUGUGCAUCUAUCUUGGGUCAGUCGACAGCCUUGAAAGGGCAAGAGGAGGGGCAGGCUGGCUAUGGUCAGAAGUCAGCAGCCUUUUCCUGCUGAACUUUGACGGGAGUGGCAUGGAUCUGUCACCAGUCAUUAGAGAGUGAGUGGAGAGGUUCUCAGCCCCACAGCCCAGCAUGGUUGAUGGAGUGGCCCCAAUUUGUCUUCCACUGAUUAGUGUCUCUGGCAGCCUGCAGCCCGCUCCCUGUAAUUCCAUCUCAGGGGGAGCUCCUGUGUGGCAGGAUCUGUGUCAGAUGAUCCCCUAGGCUCAAAGGAGGGAGGAGAUGGGAAAUGCUCGUUAGGAGUUGUUUCCAUGCAUAACAACAGUAAUAAUCCUUAGCCUUUUAUCUAAAGCUUUUACAAAUGUUAAUUCAUUAACCUCUUUCAAUCACCCUCUGAGGUGAGGAUUGUUAUCCACGGGAUUGGACAGAUGGGAGAAGCUGAGAUGUGGAGUGCCCAGCCUGAGGCUGUGGGACAAGUCACUCAGUGCCAUCAGGUCCUCCUUUGCCCUCCAAAAACUUGUCUCUCCUCUCCUGAUGAGGGGUGGGCUGGCUUCUACAGGUCACCCUGUCUCUGACAAGAGGAAACCUGGCUGUCAAUGCUUGCUGUUUGUCUCUGGCUGCAGAAGAGCUUUUCAAGAGGAGCUGGCACACUGAGCCUUGUGCCUGUGUGUCAUCGCAGACUGCCCCCAAGAGAGGGCUUGACCUGCACCACACAUGGGCCAUGGCACUGCCCUUCCUCCAGGUGCUGAGGCCCCCAGUGUGUUCUGUGUCUGUCAGGUCACCUAUGUUAUUGCUUGUAAGCAGAGAGGGAAGAAGGAGGGGAGAGAGAGACAUAGAGAAAGGGAACAAAGC
Taeniopygia guttata (zebra finch) is the source of this 2078-nucleotide long non-coding RNA. Lineage: Eukaryota; Metazoa; Chordata; Aves; Passeriformes; Estrildidae. The record is from Ensembl.